This 306-nucleotide long non-coding RNA is filed under the name Physcomitrium patens. RNAcentral's name for it is "long non-coding RNA (PPAT_LNC010936)". Lineage: Eukaryota; Viridiplantae; Streptophyta; Bryopsida; Funariales; Funariaceae. The record is from RNAcentral.
UAUUUUCUGUUCAUCUUCGUCAUCUUCUGAGCAUGAAUAUGAACUGCUUGUUGGGGACUUGAAGUCACUUGUUGCUGUUCUCGCCAUGAAACUAAACGCAGUCAAAUCACAGUUUUGUCGUCAACAAUCAACGCGUUUGUGGGUGACUGUCAUUUCACAUGCAAGGCUUGACUCAGAGAUCACGGAUGCUGCAAGCUUCGAGACUCUGCUUGAUCUCGAAAUGAGUUGCGCUAAUCGCACGAUUUCAAUGUUCAUGUGUUCGGACAGCACCUGAUGUGUUUGAUUCAUGGGAACUUGUCGCGUUGC